Molecule: ribosomal RNA, 465 nt
Filed under: Vreelandella stevensii
Lineage: Bacteria; Pseudomonadati; Pseudomonadota; Gammaproteobacteria; Oceanospirillales; Halomonadaceae
Description: partial 16S ribosomal RNA
Rfam family: Bacterial small subunit ribosomal RNA
Source: RNAcentral
CCUACGGGUGGCUGCAGUGGGGAAUAUUGGACAAUGGGCGAAAGCCUGAUCCAGCCAUGCCGCGUGUGUGAAGAAGGCCUUCGGGUUGUAAAGCACUUUCAGUGGGGAAGAAAGCCUUGGGGCUAAUACCCUCGAGGAAGGACAUCACCCACAGAAGAAGCACCGGCUAACUCCGUGCCAGCAGCCGCGGUAAUACGGAGGGUGCGAGCGUUAAUCGGAAUUACUGGGCGUAAAGCGCGCGUAGGCGGUCUGAUAAGCCGGUUGUGAAAGCCCCGGGCUCAACCUGGGAACGGCAUCCGGAACUGUCAGGCUAGAGUGCAGGAGAGGAAGGUAGAAUUCCCUGUGUAGCGGUGAAAUGCGUAGAGAUCGGGAGGAAUACCAGUGGCGAAGGCGGCCUUCUGGACUGAAACUGACGCUGAGGUGCGAAAGCGUGGGUAGCAAACAGGAUUAGAUACCCCAGUAGUC